This 1282-nucleotide ribosomal RNA is filed under the name metagenome. RNAcentral describes it as "bacterial SSU rRNA". It matches the Rfam family "Bacterial small subunit ribosomal RNA", at positions 243 to 1518 of the family's 1533-position model. The record is from RNAcentral.
AGGUUGUUGGUGAGGUAAAAGCUCACCAAGCCGACGAUCUGUAGCUGGUUUGAGAGAACGACCAGCCACACUGGGACUGAGACACGGCCCAGACUCCUACGGGAGGCAGCAGUGGGGAAUAUUGGACAAUGGGGGCAACCCUGAUCCAGCGACGCCGCGUGGGUGAAGAAGGCCUGCGGGUUGUAAAGCCCUUUCGGUGGGGAAGAAAAGUUGCGACCUAACACGUUGCGACCUUGACGUAACCCACUAAAGAAGCACCGGCUAACUCUGUGCCAGCAGCCGCGGUAAUACAGAGGGUGCGAGCGUUAAUCGGAAUUACUGGGCGUAAAGCGCGCGUAGGCGGCUUUUCAAGUCGAUUGUGAAAUCCCCGGGCUUAACCUGGGAACUGCAGUCGAGACUGUCUAGCUAGAGUAUGGGAGAGGGAAGUGGAAUUUCAGGUGUAGCGGUGAAAUGCGUAGAUAUCUGAAGGAACAUCAGUGGCGAAAGCGACUUCCUGGACCAAUACUGACGCUCAUGUGCGAAAGCGUGGGGAGCAAACAGGAUUAGAUACCCCGGUAGUCCACGCCAUAAACGAUGAGAACUGGAUGUCGGAGGGGUCUGCCCUUCGGUGUCGUAGCUAACGCGUUAAGUUCUCCGCCUGGGGAGUACGGCCGCAAGGUUGAAGCUCAAAGGAAUUGACGGGGACCCGCACAAGCGGUGGAGCAUGUGGUUUAAUUCGAUACAACGCGAAGAACCUUACCUGGUCUUGACAUCCUAGGAACCUCGCAGAGAUGUGGGGGUGCCUUCGGGAACCUGGAGACAGGUGCUGCAUGGCUGUCGUCAGCUCGUGUCGUGAGAUGUUGGGUUAAGUCCCGCAACGAGCGCAACCCUUGCCCCUAGUUGCCAGCAUUAAGUUGGGAACUCUAAGGGGACCGCCGGUGACAAACCGGAGGAAGGUGGGGAUGACGUCAAGUCAUCAUGGCCCUUAUGACCAGGGCUACACACGUGCUACAAUGGCCAGUACAAAGGGUUGCCAACCCGCGAGGGGGAGCCAAUCCCAGAAAGCUGGUCGUAGUCCGGAUCGCAGUCUGCAACUCGGCUGCGUGAAGUCGGAAUCGCUAGUAAUCGUGAAUCAGCGAUGUCACGGUGAAUACGUUCCCGGGUCUUGUACACACCGCCCGUCACACCAUGGGAGUUGAUUGCACCAGAAGUAGGUAGCCUAACCGCAAGGAGGGCGCUUACCACGGUGUGGUCAAUGACUGGGGUGAAAUCGUAACAAGGUAGCCGUACGGGAACGUGCGGC